Molecule: long non-coding RNA, 2083 nt
Organism: Poecile atricapillus (Black-capped chickadee)
Lineage: Eukaryota; Metazoa; Chordata; Aves; Passeriformes; Paridae
Exons: 4
Source: RefSeq, a predicted model, not a curated record
GUGGCCGGGCGGGGGCCGGGCCAGGCCUGCCGCGUCUCCCGUCUCCCGGCCGGGAGAUGGGGCCUGCGGGAGCUUGCUCUGAGCCAAGCUAGGCCGGGCCGGUUCCUGGCUUAGCUGCAGGUUUUGCCGUGAUGGAAUUUACCAGAAACUGCCGAGUAAAGAAGGAGAAGAGCUCUAAGCCUGCUGCAAGCAGAGACACUAACUACACUCUCUACAGCAGCUAUGAGGAACUUUUCAUCGCAGACGGCUCCAGCUCCUGUUCAGCAGAGAUCACCGAACCAUCUACAAAAGCUUGGGCAAGAUUUUAACUUUUUCUUAUCCAGAUGAGACUUGCGGAUUAAUCUUUUUAUCCAGAGAGAGAAAAGGAGAGUGAUCAACAUGGAAAGAGACUUUAUAAACUACUAGUGGGAAGAAAGAAAAAAGCGUCAAGAAAGCAAAACAAGGAGGCAAUGCAGCGCUGGGCGACAGGGGGUUUUUCUAUCCCGCCAACUGCCGCGCAUACUGAGGUUUCAGUCAGUCUUUUUAAGAUGUUCACGAGCCUUUUGCGCAUGCUUCGGGGUUGUUGUUGAAACAUCUUGCUUCACUUCUAUUCUUCUUCCUGGAAAGUCCCGCGCCUGGUCUGUACGAAAACAACCCCGACCACAACUUGCGAAAAGCUUUCUACAUUAGCUUGCGAAGGAAAAGAGAGCAAAAAAAAGAAAAAAAAAACAACCAACCACAUCCUGAUUAACUGACGAACAUCAUCCCAAUUAAUCCCAGUUAUUGAACAAACAUAACUCAUAACACGUAAGCAUCUCAAUGAUUUCAUCGUUGUUUGUUGAACUCAGCCUUUUGAUGGAAACUCCAUGGAAGCUACAAAACCUGGCCUGUGGUUUGCUGGAGUUGUAGUUGCAGAAUUUCUGUCUUCAAUAGGUCUAGAAGUGGUACAGACUGAAAACAGCAUUGAAAAGCAAACCAGAAAAUCCACAAGGAGCACUUGAUUUGUCAUCAGAGGGACACUCCCAGUAGGGCAGAGUUCAGUUGCUUUGUUAAAUCUAUGUCUUGUCUCUUUUGGAGGUUGAACUUGCAAAUAACAAGGUUUUUUACCCUGGAGGCAUGUCUAGAGUGUGCAGUCUUGCAAGUGGUGCUGUGCUUGUAGAGACAGGUGCCUUGAGAUGGUCUUUGCACAUUUCUUCUGCACAUACACGUGGUAGCUGCAAACCUUGGGAUGUCUUUGGAAAGAUUCCUGCUUGAGUCUCUAAAGAUGUGAGCAUUGUUUUUCAAAAGCGAGUUAGAAAAUUCUGCCCAGUUGCUGUUGGAAAAAUCUGUACUGUGUUUCAAGUUGGGGCUUAGGCUGAAACUUUUGUGUGGACUGAGCCAUGAGAGCAAAUACACUUUUGGAAAUGAAAUGCCCACCCCAAAGCUUACCAGUUGUAUUGAACAUACUGUGACUAUUGCUGUUUCUGUCCAGUUUUAGUACCCCUUUGACACUUCUGUUUAUACUUCUGCUACACCAUGUAGUAACACAGAACCUCUAGAACAAAGUGGCCAUCCUCUUUCUAAACCCUGGGACUGGCUACUGUGGAGAAGAUCACAUGUGCCCAUCCCAUGAUAAAAUGUUGUAUCUUUUUCGGAGUCAUUUGCUGUGUGAAAAAAGCUCUAAAAGGACUUGUUCAAGCCCAUACAUUUGGUGUUUUUUGGAUAUUGAAAGAUCUUAUAAUCAAGAUGCUACUUUUCUGCAGGAGAAAGAAAAGAUACUUCCAUUGCCUCUACCUGCUCUGCAACAGCCAACCAACCAGACUACUUGAGAUGCUGCUUCAUCGAAUCCUAGCAGAUUAUCAGCAGAUACAACAGGAUAGCCCAAGCUACUUUGAAAUGAAGAACAGGUGCCUGUACCUCCACAGCAAGCUGUCACAUAUUCAGAGCCUCAUAUCUGAAUUUGACAAGCAGUAGGUGGAGUUCUGGCACCAGGCAAGUGCUUCAGCCAAAAAUAUCUAUGAACUCUGGACUUUUUAUUUAAACCAGAAGAUUAGGCUUUUAGGAUUAUUUACUUUAGUAUUAAACAGUAGGUUCUGUUAGCAGUAAGCAGUUGGUUAGUUUCUAA